GGCAACCCUGACGGAGCAACGCCGCGUGGGGGAGGAAGGUCUGUGGAUUGUAAACUCCUUUUCUCAGGGAAGAAGCUCUGACGGUACCUGAGGAAUCAGCCUCGGCUAACUCCGUGCCAGCAGCCGCGGUAAUACGGAGGAGGCAAGCGUUAUCCGGAAUUAUUGGGCGUAAAGCGUCCGUAGGCGGUUUUUCAAGUCUGCCGUUAAAGACUACAGCUCAACUGUGGGCCGGCGGUGGAAACUGAUGAACUUGAGUAUGGUAGGGGUAGAGGGAAUUCCCAGUGUAGCGGUGAAAUGCGUAGAUAUUGGGAAGAACACCAGUGGCGAAGGCGCUCUGCUGGGCCAUAACUGACGCUGAGGGACGAAAGCUAGGGGAGCG
RNAcentral lists this ribosomal RNA (379 nucleotides) under uncultured cyanobacterium. Its description in RNAcentral is "bacterial SSU rRNA". It matches the Rfam family "Bacterial small subunit ribosomal RNA", at positions 376 to 770 of the family's 1533-position model. Lineage: Bacteria; Bacillati; Cyanobacteriota. The record is from RNAcentral.